UCGGGAAUAUUGCGCAAUGGAGGAAACUCUGACGCAGUGACGCCGCGUAUAGGAAGAAGGUUUUCGGAUUGUAAACUAUUGUCGUUAGGGAAGAUACAAGACAGUACCUAAGGAGGAAGCACCGGCUAACUAUGUGCCAGCAGCCGCGGUAAUACAUAGGGUGCGAGCGUUAUCCGGAAUUAUUGGGUGUAAAGGGUGCGUAGAUGGGAAGACAAGUUAGUUGUGAAAAUCCCCUCGGCUCAACUGAGGAACUGCAACUAAAACUAUCUUUCUUGAGUGUCGGAGAGGAAAGUGGAAUUCCUAGUGUAGCGGUGAAAUGCGUAGAUAUUAGGAGGAACACCAGUGGCGAAGGCGACUUUCUGGACGAUAACUGACGUUGAGGCACGAAAGUGUGGGGAGCAAACAGGAUUAGAUACC
RNAcentral lists this ribosomal RNA (417 nucleotides) under uncultured bacterium. RNAcentral's name for it is "bacterial SSU rRNA". It matches the Rfam family "Bacterial small subunit ribosomal RNA", at positions 355 to 786 of the family's 1533-position model. The record is from RNAcentral.